CAGAAAAGCUGGGAUACAUGAAGACUGCCAUCCCUUGAGUCACUUGCCCUGUAGCUGCCACUGUUGGAAAAGGGCUUGAUUCUGUGUCCUUGUGCCCACUUUGAAAAGCCCUGGGAAGUCCUUGGAGUCAGAUGAUCAGGCCUCCACCACUCUGCCAAAAAGUCUGUUCAAUCAGGAGUCCCCAACCCCUGAGCCACGGACUGAUAUGGAUCUAUGGUCUCUUAGGAACUGGGCUGCACAGGAGCAAUGGUGCUUCUAGAAUUUCCUUACAGGAAGAGUGAAGAGUAAGCAUUUGGAUUGGACCAGGAUUUGGAGAACUUGUCAUGUUGCUCUAUGUGCAUAUGAAAUGCAUCAUUGUAACUUAGAAUGUGAAUUAUAGAACAAACAUGGAAGUUGGAAAAAUAUUCUAAACAUAUUUUUAUGA
Molecule: long non-coding RNA, 424 nt
Filed under: Pan troglodytes (chimpanzee)
Lineage: Eukaryota; Metazoa; Chordata; Mammalia; Primates; Hominidae
Description: lincRNA
Source: RNAcentral